Molecule: long non-coding RNA, 4941 nt
Organism: Piliocolobus tephrosceles (Ugandan red Colobus)
Lineage: Eukaryota; Metazoa; Chordata; Mammalia; Primates; Cercopithecidae
Source: Ensembl
AUAAAUAUGAACAAAAAAACGAAAAUAGUAAUUACAUUCUUCCUAAUAAUAGCUACACUCAUUCAUUUUCUUUAUCUUUACAUUCAACAUUACCCCAAUCAUCAUCACCACUAAAGUCUCAUGCUUCUACUCAUAAUAAUAUACAAAAAAUAAAUUCUUUAACAACUAAUAUAAAAAAAGAAACAAAUAAUGAAAAUAUACAUCCUUUAAAUUACCUAAUUGAUAGUAUAAAUAUAUUUGCAUUUUUAGUAAAAAAAAAUAAUUAUGAUUUUAUUUCGUCUAUAUAUUUAUCUUUUGCUUUGUGUUUAAUAUACAAACUUGACGUAUGUAUUGAGUUUUCUUCUAUUGUAUUGAUAAGGGUAAUACACUUUGAACAAUUUUUAUUUUCACUUUGUGAAAUCUAUUCAAAUGAAAAUGAUACAAAGAAGAACGACUUAAGUAAAGAUACAAAAACAGGUAGCAACAGUAAGCUAUCAAAAUGUGAACCAUCUAACAAAAAAAAUAGUAGUAACAAAAACAGUAGUGACGACACUAAUAUAAAUAACAUUACAGCUGACCACUUGUACAGAUUAGUUAAAAUAAAAAAGUUAUUAAAUACGUUAAAAGGUUUCAAAUCUAUCAUAAAAUACAUAAUAGGUUUAUGCUAUAUGAAAAAAAAAAACUUUAUUUUAGCAUCUUACUGCUUUACAUCAUCAGUCAAAUUAAAUAGUUAUUGUUUUGCGUAUUUAACCAAUUCAUGGUUAUUAUUAUUGAACUAUUUUCAAAAAAUUACAAGAUAUAACAAUUUUAUUAAAGAUGAUAAAACAUAUAAUUUUUUAAAAUAUAAUUUGAAUCAUGCAAAUAGGAAUGUAUGUCGUCCUAUUAAUAUGAUAUACCCGAAAAAAAAAAAUAAAAUAAAUAAUAAUAAUAACAAUAAUAANNNNNNNNNNNNNNNNNNNNNNNNNNNNNNNNNNNNNNNNNNNNNNNNNNNNNNNNNNNNNNNNNNNNNNNNNNNNNNNNNNNNNNNNNNNNNNNNNNNNAAUAAUAAUAAUAAUAAUAAUAUUAAUAACAAUAAUAAUAAUAAUAAUAAUAAUAAUAAUAAUAAUAAUAAUAAUAAUAAUAAUGAUGAAAAUGCUACCUGGUAUGGUAGACUUAUGAAACGGUUAAAAAGGGAUGAAGGUCAUACUGGUGACUCUAAUCUUGAAGCAAACAAUGAUCAUAACAUUAGUAACUAUAAAGAAGGUGACAAACCUAGUCCAACCGGAAUGAAUAACAUGCUAGAACAUAGCAAAACAAGUGAUGCAACACACAUUCAUACAGGUACUCGCUUAAUUAAUCAUAGUAAUGCUCAUAUAAAUAAUUUAAAAAAAAUUAAUGUUGAAGAUAUAAUAAAUUUAACUUUACUUACAUAUAUGGAUUAUGUAAAAAAAGGAGUAUUUAUUUAUUCGAAAAAUUUGCAACAUGCAUUAGCUAAUGAAAAUAGUGUCUAUUCGUUCGGUAAAAACGACAUAUAUGAAUGUGACAUGUUAUUUGAUGCGAUUGAUAAUGAAACAGAUUGUUCAAAAAGUGAAUAUAGUAACGUUUUUUUAGAUAACAAUAUGAUAUCUUUAUAUUUAGAUUUAUGUGAAAUGUGGUUAUUAAAUGGUUAUAAUGUAUCUAUUAUUUUUUUAAAAAUUAUAAAAGAAAGAAUAAAUUUUUAUUAUGUAAGUAAAAAAUUUUUGAGUAAAUAUUAUUUUUUGAUUGGUAUGUAUUACCAUAUUAUAAAAAAUAUGAAAAAGGCAUUAAAAUAUUAUUAUAAAAGUUUACUUAUUUAUGAAAAUAAUGUUAGUAGAUAUUACUACACCGUGACAUGUAUUUAUUUGAAAAAAUAUAAAAAGGCUAAACAAAACUUGAUGUUUUUUAAUUUAAAUAACAAUAAUGUAUAUUUUAUGAAACUGUACAUUUGGUUUUAUGUCCAUACAGCUAAUCUUUAUCUGAAUUAUAAUGUAAUAAGUAAAACGCGUUGUACAGAAAAGAGCGACGCUUACUUGGGCACCAUACUUACGUCGGAAUUCGCAACAAACAAACCAAACAAACCAAACAAAACAAAAAAAACAAACAAAACAAACAAAACAAACAAAACAAACAAAACAGACAAAACAGACAAAACAGACAAACCAAACAAAACAAACAAAACAGACAAAACAGACAAACCAAACAAAACAAACAAAACAAACAAAACAAACAAAACAAAAAAAACAAACAAAACAAACAAAACAAACAAAACAAACAAAACAAACAAAACAAAAAAAACAAACAAAACAAACAAAACAAAAAAAAUAGAAGAUCCAAAUGACACAAAUAACCCGAAUAGAGCAAUCACAACUUAUACCGUUGUAAAAAACAAAUUUGUUAAAACGGAUUCUGAUAAGCACACGAAAAAAACGUUGUGCAUGCUACAUAAUCUUUUACACAUUAUACAAACGAAUAAUAAAACGUUCCACAAUGAUUUGGAUAUUAAAUUUAUGGAAGCUAAAAUAUAUGACCUUUUGAUUACUAAAUAUAACGAAAAUUACAUGAACAAAUAUUUUAAUUUAUUAAAUCAAAUAAAUGAUAUAAAAACAUUUUUUAAACAAAAAAAUAAAAGUGCUAAACUAUCAUACGAACUGAUUAAUAAUUAUAUAGUUGCUUUAUUUUAUACUAAUUCGAAAGAAAAAAGUUUAAACUUGAUGGAAAAAUUAAAAAAAGAAAUUUUUUAUAAAAUAAAAAAGGUUUUUUAUUUCUAUACAUAUGUAUUAUGUAAAAAAGAACAUUAUCACGGCCAUGGUUAUUAUAAUAUAAAACAAAACAAAACAAACUUAGACUAUACAAAAAUAUAUGAGCUGAAAAAAAAAAGGGAAAAUCUUUGUUCUAAAGAUUUAUUACAAAUGGAAGAAACGAAAAACGAAUGCAUUAAAAGAAACUAUGAGGCUAUGGGUGAAAUUAGUGAAAAUGAUGGAGAUAGUAAAAAAAGUAGACGUUUAAUAGAUAACAAACAGGUUGAUCAUACUAAUUGUGAAAAUAAAACCGAAAUGGAUAAUCAACAAAACCAUAAUCAAGAUAACUACGAUAAAAGUGUGGACUGCCAUAGUAACAGCAAACAAAAUAAGUUAAUUAUAAAAAAUAAUAAAACCAAAAUAACGCACAUUAAGAAUAUGUUAAAAGUGCAUCGUAUUUACGAGAUUCGAGACCGAUUGACGAAUUGUAAUGGUAGUAUCAAUAUAAUGAGCAGUACGAACAUGAAAAGCAGUGAUAAUUGUUUAAACGAAGUGUACAUAAAAAGAAUAAAAAAAAAAAGAUAUAAAUAUAUUAUAAAUUAUUUAAAACAAAUAUAUAUAACCGUAUCAUUUAACAAUGCAAUGUUAUUAGAAUUGUUAGGCUAUAUGCACUUAUCUAUUAACAUUUAUAAAUUGUAUACACAAAUAUAUAUAAAUUAUGAAUGGCCUUUUAUCAGAUUAGCCAAUAUAUAUAUAAAAGAUAAAAAUUAUACAAUGGCAAAACAGUUGAUAGAUUAUGGAAUAAAGCACAAUGAUAACUCCUUAUAUUUGAAUUUAUUAAAAGCGUAUUUACACGCUAAACAAGGGUAUUAUGAUUAUAGCAUUCACCUUUUAGAAAAAUUAAAAAGAAAAAGAUGGUAUUACAUCUAUAAUAACAACAAUACAUGUUAUAAUAAUAUUAGUUAUAACGACAAUGAUAGUUGUUACAUUUCCUAUAAAAACGAUGUGUUAUUAAAUACAUAUUUAGCGAUAAUAAAAUUUUAUAAAUUAAAAAGUUGUAAAUAUAGAGAAAGAGAUGAGACAAUAAAAGACAUUUACAAUCAAAUAAAUAUAUUAUUAAAUAAAAAAGAUAAUUUUUGUAUAGCUAACUUAAUUAGUAUAUUAUUAAGUAUGAACAAUAAAUAUGAAUUAUCCUUCGAAGCAUUUCAACUUAUAAUAGAUUUGAAUAAAAGACUAUCAUUUUUUUAUUUAUGUAGUACAAGAAAUUUAAUAUUACAUAUGUUUAAUCAUUUAAUAAAACAUAAUGAAUUAAUUACUAAUAAAAUAUUUUUAAAUAAAUUAAAUUUGUUUUUUAAUUUAACUAUAAAAAAUGGAAAUGCAGAUAAACAAAUUUAUUUAUGUUUUAGUAACUUUUUACAUAUAUUAAACAAAAAUGAAGAAGCUGUUCAUUUAUUAUAUACAGCCUACCAAAUGUGGCCAUAUGAUUUUUGCAUAUUAAGUACUCUUAUCAUAUGUAUAGAUUCAUAUGUUUCGCAAUAUUUAAGUUCAAAUUAUGUUGAAUUAAAACAUAUUUUUUAUAUGAAAAAUCUAAUAAAUUUUGCUUUUGGCGUUAUUUACACCUUAUUAAAAUGGAAGCAUUUUAUUACAACGGCUGAUUUAAUUCGCUCAGAUACCCAAUACAAUUACUACAAAAAAGACAAUUACAUCGUCGAUAUAAAAAAAAAAAAUGUUGAACAUAUAGCGAGUCGACAAUUUUUACUAGCAACAUAUAAAAAGUUUGAAUAUAAAAUAAAACCAUAUAUCGAAAGCAGUCUACCGACCAUGUUAAAACAAAAAAAAAUAUAUUUUAUGAAAAAAAUAAGCAUAAAAAAAAAAAUAUACGAAGAAAAAAAAAAACAACAACUUAGUUUAGAAUUAAAAAAAAAAAAAAGUCAAGAAAUUUUACAAAAAGAAUUACUCAACGAUAUAAAUGAAUUAACUCAUCAAAUAUCUGAAAAAAAUAUAAAUGAAAAGGACCCAAAUCAAAAUGUUAAUCUGAUUGAAAUAUAUAAAACUGAAGCAAACCAAGUAGAUUAUAACCAAAGUACUGAUAACAAAGACAAUGACCCAAGUUCUUCAGCUAGUCCUCAUAGUUCUGAUAGCUCCGAUUUGUUUGGUGAAAAAGAAGAACUUUCCAAAAAAAAAAAAUAAAUAUAAACAAACAAACAAUCAUAGAAUAAAUAUAAUA